Molecule: long non-coding RNA, 3802 nt
Filed under: Sus scrofa (pig)
Lineage: Eukaryota; Metazoa; Chordata; Mammalia; Artiodactyla; Suidae
Description: lncRNA (ENSSSCG00000034578.3)
Source: RNAcentral
AUAGGAAUGAAAUGUUAUAACCGAUAAUUGCGUAACAUUUUGGAGUCUGUUUAAUCCUUUGAGAAUAAUUUUACUUAUUUGAAUAUUAUUCCCUAAGAGUAAUAUACUUUAAAAAAUCCCCAAAUUUUAGAGCUUUUGUUGUUCCAGAGUAAUAUGAUUUUCUAAUAAAUAUGCCUUUAUUUUUAUUAUUUGUCUGAUUUUAGGUAAGAGAAUCUACAUGUUAUCAACAGUGGUUGCUGUGGUUUCCCAAGGAUAGAAUGGCAUCUGCUCACCAGAGUUCACAUGAUGACUGAGCAGUGUACAUUCUGCAGCAUGUAGGCAUUGGAUCGGAGCGACAGGUCCCAGGAUGCUCUACGUUGGACACGCUGCGACAUCUGCCAGGUCUGUGGUCCUGCUCUUUGACACGGGACAGAAAAUCCAACUCAACCGAUCUGGAGCUGAAGAUGAGAUGGAUCCUACUCAAGACACAGGGAUAAGAGGGAUCUAUUUUCAAAGGAAACAAGACAGUCUUAGCAAAAGAAGAGAAAUGGAGGCGACUUUUUGGCAAAUACUGCAUCUUCAGCCAGGAGAAGUGUGGAAUUGCUGCAUUCUGUGGUAUGGAGAACCCUCCAUACUGUUCUCUACAGUAGGCUGCACCAACUCACAUUCCCACGAACAAGGUAAGAGGGCCCCUUUUCUCUGCAUCCUUGCCAUCAUUUGUUAUUUGUGCUCAUUUUGAUGAAAGCCCUUCUGCCAGGUGUGAGUUGAUAGCUCGAUGUGGUUUUGAUUUGCGUUUCCCUGAUGAUUAACAAUGUUGAGCAUCUUUUCAUGUGCCUGCUGGCCAUCUGCAUUUCCUCUUGGGAGAAAUGUCUAUUCAGGUCUUCCACUCAUUUUUCAAUCUGGUUGUUUGCUUAUUUGAUGCUGAGUUAUAUGAGCUGUUUGUGUAUUUUGGAUAUUAACCCCUUGUUUAUCAUAGCAUUGCAAAUAUUUUCUCCCAUUCAGUAGGUUGUCUUUUCAUUUUGUUGCUGGUUUUCUUUGCUGUACAAAGACUUUUAAGUUUAACUAGGUCCUACUUGUUUAUUUUUGCUUUUCUUCCCUUUACCAUAGGAGAUAUAGUUCAAAGAAUAUUGCUACAAUUUAUGUCAGAGUGUUCUGCCUAUGUUUUCUUCUAGGAGUUUUAUGGUGUAUGGUAUUACAUUUAGUUCUUUAACAUUUUGAGUUUAUUUCUAUGUAUGGAGCUAGGGAAUUAUCUCAUUUCAUUCUUCUACAUGUAGCUAUCUAGUUUUCCCAGUGCCAUUUAUUAAAGAGACUCUCUUUUCUCCAUUGUAUACUCUUUCCUCCUUUGUCAUAAAUUAAUUGACCAUAAAUAUGUGGGUUUGUUUCUGGGCUCUUUAUCCUGUUCCAUUGAUCUAUGUGUUUGUUUUUAUGCCAGUACUAUGCUGUUUUGGUUACUGUAACUUUAUAGUAUAGUCUGAAGUCAGGGAAUGUGAUUCUUCCCAUUCUGGUCUUCUUUCUCUAGAUUGUUUUGGCUAUUCAGGGUCCAUUGUAUUUCCAUACACAUUUUAAGAUUUGGAGGUUAUUAUGCUGAGUGAAAUAAGUCAGACAAAGACAACUACUUUAUGAUAUCACUUAUAUAUAGACUCUAAGAAAUACAACAAACUAAUGAAAAUAAUAAAAAAGAAACUCAGAGAACAAUCCAGUGGUUACCAGUGGGGAGAAGGUAAUAGAGGGGUAGGGGAAUAAGAGGUACAAACUAUUAUAUAUAUAAUAAGCUACAAUGAUAUUUGACACAGGAAUAUGUGACCCAAUAUUUUAUAAUAACUGUAAAUGUUGGCGUAUAAACUUUAAAAUUGAGUUAUGCAGAUGUAACUAUAGCUAUCCAGGUAUAACUGUAAUUUAUACCUGUAAUUUAUGUAAUAUUAUAUAUCAACUAUACUUCAAUAUAAAAAAUAGAAAGCUCAGAAGAGCCUGACCAAAGUUUGGUCAGGGAGAGAAUUUUUCCAUUCUACAGAAUAUGGUAUGAUCUGCCAUUUCAUUUUUUGAAUAAAACAGGUUAGACAUUCUCCUGCCAUAUUAGAUAUUUCUCUUUACCUUGGAACUGAGAGUAAAGUAUGCAUGUAGGAGGUGUUCUGGAUUGCCUAUUAGAGAAAAACCUCUCCAUGGUAUAUAUUGUGCUUGCAUUUUGAACAUCCACAAAACAGUAAUUACCAUUUUUACAUGCUCCUGAUUUGUCAAAUAGUAACUAGAAGACUUUCAUACAUACACUUGUGAGUUCCAUUCAACUACUCCAAGGGAAUAUGUGCAGCAACCAUCAGUAAAAAACAAUAUGGAUGUCAUAUUGAUCCAUUUAGAAUUCACCACAGACAUCCCCUAAAACUAUUAAACCCAGAAAAGAUCUGCUAACAUUCAUUACAAUACCACAACCAACCCCACCCCUCAUAAUCUGUGAACCAAGCCAUCACUUGGUGAGAUCUUACAGCACUUCCUCAUCACUAGUCACUGAAUUUUAUUAAUAGCUUUAAAUACUGAUAGAAGAGAAUAACUUGAAAAUAAAUUAGGUGUGCCUUCUUGUUUUGAGAUGGAAAAAAGAAUCACAUUUUGAUAAACUUUGUUUAUAACAUUGUGUUCAAAUAUAUUAAAGUAUGUGAAGAUUGUUCUUAACCAGCAGAUGGAUUUGGGAGAGAGUGUUGAUUACUGCUUGGGAGUCCAUCUCGGAAACAGACUCUAGGUUUGAGUCCUGGUUCUGUCACCUAUUAGCUGUGUGACCUGUUGUGUGUUCUGAGCAAGAUACUUAGCCCUUCUGCCUCCAUUUUCUCAUCUAUAAAGUGGGGGUGUUAAUGUAACUAUUUAAUUGGUUGCUUAGAGAAUUAUAUUGCCUAGCACAUGUAAAAUACUUAGACUAGUACUUGGCACGUGGCUCUCAGGUUAACCUCUAAUCUUGUUCUUUCAGCAGUUUGGUUUCCACUGAUGGGUCCUUUCAUUUUUACUUGCAAUUCCUACUUCUGACGUGCAAUAACUAUGAAUGUAGGCACAGUUGACAUGAGAUUCAAAGUCAGGCUCUUGCUUGUGCAAUCUUUGGCAAGGCACUCAAUUUCUUUUCCUUCAUCUAUGAAAUGGGAAUAAAAAUAAUUACCUUAUAAGAUCAUUAUGGUAAUGAAAUUAGGUAAUGUGAAUAAGGCACUAGACACAACACCUAAAACACAGGAAAUGCUCAAUAAGUGGCAACUAUAGUCUUUAUGAGCCCAUAUAGGCAGCGUUGUUUCAAGGCAUGGAUGAUGAUCUGAGAAUCUGGAGAGCCAGCCUCCUGUCUGGGUUCAUAAUCUCGUUGAUAUGGGGUAAGUGGAUCCAAUGCCUUGCCGCUCACAUAGAGGAGUUUCCCUGGCGGUUCACUGGGCUAAGGAUCCAACGUUGCCACUGCUACAAUGAGGAUGUGAUCACUGGCUUGAGAACUUCUAAAUGUUGUGGGCCCAGCCAAAAAUAACUAAGUAAAUAAACAAAAUGUACAUAGAAGGUUCUCCUUUACUCAAAUCCAUCAGCUCUUCUCAUUUGCUGCCCAAAUUUGUGAACAUUUAGAAUAGGCACCAAAAGAGUGCAAAGAAAGGAUCCUUAGAGUGCUCCUGCAGUAAACUGAGCAGGCAGAACAUGAUAAGAAAAACUGAGCAGGAAACCAAAGUGGAAGAGGAGCCAUGACAGUAAUCAGAAGGCAGAGAACAUAAGGAACGUGCUGCCCGCCUCUGACAGCCUUCUCUUGGCUCAGGAAAGAAUCACAGGAAGAGGGCUUCUAAGAGGAAAGGGAACACUUAUUUAAUGGAAGGUUGGGAUG